UACGGGGGGGGCAAGCGUUGUUCGGAUUCAUUGGGCGUAAAGGGUGUGUAGGUGGCGCCGUAAGUCGGGUGUGAAAUUUCGGAGCUUAACUCCGAAACUGCAUUCGAUACUGCGGUGCUUGAGGACUGGAGAGGAGACUGGAAUUCAUGGUGUAGCAGUGAAAUGCGUAGAGAUCAUGAGGAAGACCAGUGGCGAAGGCGGGUCUCUGGACAGUUCCUGACACUGAGACACGAAGGCCAGGGGAGCAAACGGG
Molecule: ribosomal RNA, 253 nt
Filed under: uncultured bacterium
Lineage: Bacteria
Description: partial 16S ribosomal RNA
Rfam family: Bacterial small subunit ribosomal RNA
Source: RNAcentral